UACUCAGAAUGCAUAGAAUGUCUUCUGUCGUCUGGAUAAAACAUCCAAAUGGAGAUGCGGAGUAGGCAGUUGGAAACAUCCAUCUGCAGUUUAGGAGAGAGGUCAGGGCUGGCAGUGAGACUGGAGGGGAGUCAUCAGCAAACAACAGCAUUUAAACCUUGAGCUUGAAUGACCACCAAACAUGGAGAGAGAAAAGUUCAAGAACUGAGCCUGGAGCAAACCAACAUGCACAGGCUGCAGGAAAGAAGAGACCAAGUGGGUUGAAGAGGAACCAACGAGGCAGAAAAAGCCAGGCCAGUGUAGCUCUCUGGAAGCCAGAGAAGAAAGGGCACCAAGUAGGGGAGAAUGACCAGGAUAGCCAAGGGCCCAUCCAGCAGACAUACCUGUCAACUCUACUGAGGAGAGAAGGUGAACAUGAGAAAUUUCAAGCACUUGAAGCUUAAAAGACCUAAAAAGGUAAAUAACAAUUCAAAAUGAAGUCACUGCCAUUCUUUCACAUACCUUCUUUCCUAAUAUAGACUAAUUUAUUUGAAAACUGUAUAAAUUAAGUU
Molecule: long non-coding RNA, 551 nt
Filed under: Equus asinus (donkey)
Lineage: Eukaryota; Metazoa; Chordata; Mammalia; Perissodactyla; Equidae
Description: lncRNA (ENSEASG00005030030.1)
Source: RNAcentral